UUUGAAACUGCCCUGCAAAACAUUUCUUUUCAAAUAGUAAUUGUUUAAAGCUCGUAAAGUUUGAAUGAAAGAUAAAAUAGAUCUUCCUUUUUUCAGCUAUGUAACGCAACGGCAUUCAUUUUUUAUUUUUUUUUUCUCCUGGAUCUAAACUGGAACUUUUGAAGAAUUUAAUCUUACCUUUCACCCAGAAAGAGGAGGAGAGAUCAAAGAACUCUCUCCAUUACCUUCAGGUAAAAUAUUCUGCAUUGACUGAGUUAAGAGAUUACACUAAACCAAGCAAGUUUCUGUAGAUGGCAGAUGUCUUCACUUUUGUUUCCUUUCAUUGUUGAUGAGGAUUACCUUGUGAUUUAACCAACAUCCUGAUUGCAAGGAUUCCAAGAGUACAGUGGAGACUUGAGAGCUGAAAGUUGGAACAGUGGAUAUUCAUUGAAGAGGUCAUGGAAGAGUCAUUCCCUGGAAGGGACAGAUUUGCUUUGGAAAGAGUGAACCUGGGAAGAAAAGCAAGCAAUGAACAUAAUGUACAAAAUAUUUAUGGUUAUUUUUAUUCAUGGUUUUAUGUGACAAAACACUCAGUCUGGUUUUCUGAUUCCUAUCUCCAGCUUGUUCUCCUGUGGUGCCAGCCAAAGACAUUUCAACACUAAAACAUUAAUCGGCCUCCAUUUUUCACUGGAAAAUUUGAGUAAAAUAAAUAAUUUGAUCAUUUUAGUAGUUGUUACUGC
RNAcentral lists this long non-coding RNA (719 nucleotides) under Phasianus colchicus (ring-necked pheasant). Its description in RNAcentral is "lncRNA (ENSPCLG00000002555.1)". The record is from RNAcentral. Lineage: Eukaryota; Metazoa; Chordata; Aves; Galliformes; Phasianidae.